Molecule: ribosomal RNA, 496 nt
Filed under: uncultured bacterium
Lineage: Bacteria
Description: partial 16S ribosomal RNA
Rfam family: Bacterial small subunit ribosomal RNA
Source: RNAcentral
GAUGAACGCUGGCGGCGUGCUUAACACAUGCAAGUCGAACGAGAAUCUACUGAAAGAGUUUUCGGACAAUGGAAGUAGAGGAAAGUGGCGGACGGGUGAGUAACGCGUGAGGAACCUGCCUUGAAGAGGGGGACAACAGUUGGAAACGACUGCUAAUACCGCAUGACGCAUAGAGGUCGCAUGAUCUUUAUGCCAAAGAUUUAUCGCUUCAAGAUGGCCUCGCGUCUGAUUAGCUGGUUGGCGGGGUAACGGCCCACCAAGGCGACGAUCAGUAGCCGGACUGAGAGAUUGAACGGCCACAUUGGGACUGAGAUACGGCCCAGACUCCUACGGGAGGCAGCAGUGGGGACUAUUGGGCAAUGGGCGCAAGCCUGACCCAGCAACGCCGCGUGAAGGAAGAAGGCUUGCGGGUUGUAAACUUCUUUUAAGAGGGAAGAGCAGAAGACGGUACCUCUAGAAUAAGCCACGGCUAACUACGUGCCAGCCGCCGCCGUAA